GAGAAACACAGGAGUGUUAUACGGACAAGUCGAGGGUGGUCGUCUGUGCUUCUGACUUCUCCAGGUUGCGGCCAAAACCAAAAGGAAACUAUCCGGUGCUGGUAAGGAGCCCAUGAGGAAAAGAAGAUGGAGCUGAAAAAAGUUGUAUUUUAUAUGUGGACGCGAGGGAAGGACUGCAAAAAUGAGAAAAGAGGCACGUCGAACACACACGCAUGAACGCGCCCUGAAUCACACAUCUUCAUCCUCCAUCCACCUCACUCAUCUGUACAUCUGGCCACAAUGAGGGAGAGUGCCUUCAGCUGCUGUGCCCAGUCUUCAAAUUUAUACCCGAGAAACACCAAGUCAGUUUGAAC
This is a long non-coding RNA of Syngnathoides biaculeatus (alligator pipefish), 353 nucleotides long. RefSeq lists it as uncharacterized. The transcript is spliced from 3 exons. NCBI's taxonomy places the organism in Eukaryota, Metazoa, Chordata, Actinopteri, Syngnathiformes, Syngnathidae. The record is from RefSeq and is a predicted model, not a curated record.